Molecule: ribosomal RNA, 621 nt
Filed under: Hepatozoon canis
Lineage: Eukaryota; Apicomplexa; Hepatozoidae
Description: bacterial SSU rRNA
Rfam family: Eukaryotic small subunit ribosomal RNA
Source: RNAcentral
AUACAUGAGCAAAAUCUCAACUUUAUUAGAAGAGACGCAUUUAUUAGAUAAAAAGCCAGUUCAUGCUUUUAUAGUAUGAAAAUUGGUGAUUUAUAAUAACUUAGCAAAUCGCAAAGUGAAAACAGGCGAUAAAUCAUUCAAGUUUCUGACCUAUCAGCUUUCGACGGUAUGGUAUUGGCUUACCGUGGCAGUGACGGUUAACGGGGGAUUAGGGUUCGAUUCCGGAGAGGGAGCCUGAGAAACGGCUACCACAUCUAAGGAAGGCAGCAGGCGCGCAAAUUACCCAAUUCUAACAGUUUGAGAGAGGUAGUAACAAGAAAUAACAAUACAAGGCAGUUAAAAUGCUUUGUAAUUGGAAUGAUAGAAAUUUAAACCCUUUUUAAAGUAUCAAUUGGAGGGCAAGUCUGGUGCCAGCAGCCGCGGUAAUUCCAGCUCCAAUAGCGUAUAUUAAAAUUGUUGCAGUUAAAAAGCUCGUAGUUGAAGUUCUGCUGAAAGUAACCGGUCUGCUUUUAAUAAAAGUGGUAUCUUGGUAUGUAUUUAGCAAUGAAUGUCCUUUUGAAGUGUUUUUUACUUUAUUGGUAAUAAAGCAUAUUCAGGACUUUUAACUUUGAGAAAAUUAGA